Non-coding RNA from Oryza glumipatula, 184 nucleotides. NCBI's taxonomy places the organism in Eukaryota, Viridiplantae, Streptophyta, Magnoliopsida, Poales, Poaceae. The record is from Rfam.
UAUAAGUAUAAUUAUGGGUUUCCUUUCCAACGUUUAACCGUCCAUCUUAUUUAAGAAAAUUAUGAUUAGUAUUUUUGUUAUUAUUAAGUGAUAGAACAAACUUUUUUUAAAAAAGUUUUCAUAAAUUUUUUAAAUUAGAUGGACGGUUAAAUAUUGGACACGAAAACCCAUAACUGCACUUAUA